GUGAAGCAUAUUGGUCAAGUAGCUUCUUCAAUCUUGAUUAUUUUUCACUGUGAAUCAACAUGAGAAUUUAUAAGUGUUAUAAAAAUUUUAAUUGCUAAUCUAUUCUAUCUUUCUGGCAUCCAAUGUAAUUGGAUGAAAUUUUUCUUCAUAUAAAGGGGGGCAGGAUAUCUUUCGUAAGGUAAGUCUGAACAGAUAGAGCUAAGACUCUGCUGAAUCAUUUUCAGCUCUCCCAUUGAAGGGAACAAAAGUUCUCUCUCUAUUUAGCCCACGAUCUUUUUUCUCAUCCUUUUAUUCUCCUAUUUUCACUACCUAUUCACAAGGCUUCAUCUGACUUAAUCAUUAGAUGGUCUUGA
Molecule: long non-coding RNA, 353 nt
Filed under: Elaeis guineensis (African oil palm)
Lineage: Eukaryota; Viridiplantae; Streptophyta; Magnoliopsida; Arecales; Arecaceae
Description: long non-coding RNA (EGUI_LNC057529)
Source: RNAcentral